Molecule: ribosomal RNA, 253 nt
Filed under: uncultured prokaryote
Description: partial 16S ribosomal RNA
Rfam family: Bacterial small subunit ribosomal RNA
Source: RNAcentral
ACGAAGGGUGCAAGCGUUAAUCGGAAUUACUGGGCGUAAAGGGUGCGUAGGUGGUUCGUUAAGUCCGUUGUGAAAGCCCCGAGCUCAACUUGGGAAUUGCAGUGGAUACUGGCGAGCUGGAGUGCGGUAGAGGAAGGUGGAAUUCCCGGUGUAGCGGUGAAAUGCGUAGAGAUCGGGAGGAACACCAGUGGCGAAGGCAGCCCCCUGGGCCUGUACUGACGCUCAUGCACGAAAGCGUGGGGAGCAAACAGGA